UCUAAAAUGGCAGAAUAAAUGCAUAGGAUUUAAGCUCCUAUUAUGAAGUAAUUUUUAACUUCUUUUAGAA
This 70-nucleotide transfer RNA is filed under the name Lupocycloporus gracilimanus. RNAcentral's name for it is "Portunus gracilimanus tRNA-Leu". The record is from RNAcentral. Lineage: Eukaryota; Metazoa; Arthropoda; Malacostraca; Decapoda; Portunidae.